CAAAGCUCGCGCCCCGCCUAGGCGGGUGCCGGUGUUGGGGAUCGACCUAGGGCCCCCCUGUGGGCCGCGCCGUCCCCUAAAUGCAGUGGCGGACUCGCUGUAGCCUCCCGCGCGUAGUAGCUCUAUUUCGCGCGCGCAGGCCGACGAGCCCCUGCCGUAAAACCCCCAACCUUCUUCA
This 178-nucleotide unclassified non-coding RNA is filed under the name uncultured Hypocreales. RNAcentral describes it as "sequence contains ITS2". The record is from RNAcentral. Lineage: Eukaryota; Fungi; Ascomycota; Sordariomycetes; Hypocreales.